GGGCCGUGGGGGUCCGUGGGGUCCGUUGGGUCCGUUCCUUUUGCUUUCAUACGGCUGCAAUCACCGAACGGUGCCCGCGCUCCUCAGCAGCACAACGCAGCUUGCCGGGGGAAUCGGCUCUGAGCGCAGCAGAUCAGAGUGGUGGAUCAGCUCACCGCCCCGCACCGGGUGUAUGAUUUCAUCGACCUUCAGCAGUGCCUCGCCUCCAUGGAGACUGCACUCCUCGCUCCUGAGCCUUGCUGGGUUACUUCAGGGUUUGUGCUCCUGGAUCUCAGAGAGGCACAUCUAUACAGGUUGCUGCAGUCUGAAGGAAGCAACACACAUUUAAUGGGAGCUGAACCGCACGAGGGGC
Long non-coding RNA from Lagopus leucura (white-tailed ptarmigan), 352 nucleotides. RefSeq lists it as uncharacterized. The record is from RefSeq and is a predicted model, not a curated record. The transcript is spliced from 3 exons. NCBI's taxonomy places the organism in Eukaryota, Metazoa, Chordata, Aves, Galliformes, Phasianidae.